This 307-nucleotide long non-coding RNA is filed under the name Panax ginseng (ginseng). RNAcentral describes it as "long non-coding RNA (PGIN_LNC000990)". The record is from RNAcentral. Lineage: Eukaryota; Viridiplantae; Streptophyta; Magnoliopsida; Apiales; Araliaceae.
UCAUACUUGUGCUGCAAACACAUUGUUCAUAUUGAAAGUGGAGUAAGAACUGCAGUAAUUUAGGAUGAUUGGGUUUGAAUUUGAAGUUCUUUUCACUUGUAAUUAUGGUAGGGGUCGAAUGGAUUAUCAAAAGUUACCUACCAUUGGAUCUAAGUAGAGGGCUCUUGUUCCUUGAGUAGUUUAUGAACUAGGGGAUAUUUCUUAAAAGUACUUGAGAAGCUGAAGACCAAACCACUUUUCUUGUAAUUAUUUGUUUCUGAUGGUAACUUUUGGUUCUGUUUGCGAUGAUCUAUGAUAGCACUUUAAU